Molecule: long non-coding RNA, 2665 nt
Organism: Salvia miltiorrhiza (redroot sage)
Lineage: Eukaryota; Viridiplantae; Streptophyta; Magnoliopsida; Lamiales; Lamiaceae
Exons: 3
Source: RefSeq, a predicted model, not a curated record
AGUAAAGGCCCAAAUCUCCUUCCCUUUUCCCUCGAACACGGCUGAAACAUCGGCCUAUCGAUUUCUCUCUCUCUCAAAUCUCAAACGUGUUUUUCAGAAUUCAAGACCGAGAGUCCAACUUUCAAAAUUUCGCCGCCGCGUCUGCUGCUUUUGCAAAUCUGGCAAGGUCGCCGCACAAUCGGUCGGCGCGACCCUGUCUGCUUCUCUCUUACGCCUUCACCUCUCGAGUGAAUCCCUCAGAAAUCACACCAACAAGAGCCCUAAUUUCUCCCAUCAUAAAUCGCCGCCGCCGUUGAAGAACUGGGAUCCGGCGAACGUCGGCUGGCUCUCCGUCAACCAUCUUCUCUGCCUUUCUAUGUCUAUCCUCUCAAUUACAUAUGCUCGAGGAGAAAGGGCGAGCCCUAAUUUCUCCUCCACCAGAAAUCGUCACCGCCGCCGUCACUGAGAGACCAGCGAGCGGGGCCGCUGCUGCCGCCGUUGCUAGAUAUUCGGCGUAUCGGAGCAGUCACUCAUAGCCUCCAUCGACCCGUGUUGCUUUUCAACACCAUCUCUGUUCUCUGCCCAAACCUCUCAAGGGCUAUCGGAGGAAGGCUCCUCCACCUUGACGAACAGGGCAGCCUGCCUCCGCCUGAUCUCGCUUACCUCAUAGACAAAGGUUCGGCCCUAACUCUUAGUAUAUAAUCGUGAAGAAGCAAGCUAUGAUUUCUAGUUCGGUGCGAAAGUAAAUCUCUUGGAAACUAGUAUUCUAUGAAUCUCAUAAAUGCUAUUGCAGUAUUGGGUGUUUGUGUUCAAGAGUCAAUCUGCUAAACUGAACUUAAGGCACUUGUCUCACAUAAAAAAAUUCUAGUGUCAUGCCAUUCACUUCAUGCUUUACUCUAAAUAUUUAAAUCUGAAGAUAUGCUUAUUGGUGUGAAUCAUGUAGCAUGAAGAGUAACUGAGAUAGUAUAUACCUUGACGAACAGGGCAGCCUGCCUCCGCCUGAUCUCGCUUACCUCAUAGACAAAGGUUCGGCCCUAACUCUUAGUAUAUAAUCGUGAAGAAGCAAGCUAUGAUUUCUAGUUCGGUGCGAAAGUAAAUCUCUUGGAAACUAGUAUUCUAUGAAUCUCAUAAAUGCUAUUGCAGUAUUGGGUGUUUGUGUUCAAGAGUCAAUCUGCUAAACUGAACUUAAGGCACUUGUCUCACAUAAAAAAAUUCUAGUGUCAUGCCAUUCACUUCAUGCUUUACUCUAAAUAUUUAAAUCUGAAGAUAUGCUUAUUGGUGUGAAUCAUGUAGCAUGAAGAGUAACUGAGAUAGUAUAUACCUUGACGAACAGGGCAGCCUGCCUCCGCCUGAUCUCGCUUACCUCAUAGACAAAGGUUCGGCCCUAACUCUUAGUAUAUAAUCGUGAAGAAGCAAGCUAUGAUUUCUAGUUCGGUGCGAAAGUAAAUCUCUUGGAAACUAGUAUUCUAUGAAUCUCAUAAAUGCUAUUGCAGUAUUGGGUGUUUGUGUUCAAGAGUCAAUCUGCUAAACUGAACUUAAGGCACUUGUCUCACAUAAAAAAAUUCUAGUGUCAUGCCAUUCACUUCAUGCUUUACUCUAAAUAUUUAAAUCUGAAGAUAUGCUUAUUGGUGUGAAUCAUGUAGCAUGAAGAGUAACUGAGAUAGUAUAUACCUUGACGAACAGGGCAGCCUGCCUCCGCCUGAUCUCGCUUACCUCAUAGACAAAGGUUCGGCCCUAACUCUUAGUAUAUAAUCGUGAAGAAGCAAGCUAUGAUUUCUAGUUCGGUGCGAAAGUAAAUCUCUUGGAAACUAGUAUUCUAUGAAUCUCAUAAAUGCUAUUGCAGUAUUGGGUGUUUGUGUUCAAGAGUCAAUCUGCUAAACUGAACUUAAGGCACUUGUCUCACAUAAAAAAAUUCUAGUGUCAUGCCAUUCACUUCAUGCUUUACUCUAAAUAUUUAAAUCUGAAGAUAUGCUUAUUGGUGUGAAUCAUGUAGCAUGAAGAGUAACUGAGAUAGUAUAUACCUUGACGAACAGGGCAGCCUGCCUCCGCCUGAUCUCGCUUACCUCAUAGACAAAGCAUGAAGAGUAACUGAGAUAGUAUAUACCUUGCAUGAGUUUGUGUUGGUGGCUGCUGUUAUUGAUGUGUAGGAGGUAAACUAUCCGAAACUUGGCAGCUGGAAAAUCGGUUCACUCCCUUGAUUGCUGGUGAACAAAGACUGAAUAAGGGAGUUUGUUGGAUGGCUGACUUAUUGAAGGAGAGAGUUAGCUAAAUGGGAGUAUCUACUCUUCUAUGACAUGCUUAAAAGAUGGGCAGCAGGUGUAGGGUGGUUGACUGAGGAGAUGGCUGUCAUAGGGUGGCUGAUUGACACCCUAAGCGUGCCUUGGCAUGUUUUAAGGGAUGGGGGAGUGGCUUGGUGCAGAUGGAGGUGAAGGCUGCUGUUGCAGCUAUUCUGCACACAUGGCACACAUUUCUUUUUCUUUCUUUUCCUCUCUUUUGUUAGCAGGUAGUGAGUAGGAAAUUGGAAGUGAGUGAUGAUUGUAUUAGCUAUGUAGUAGGAGUAAAAGUUGUAUUGUAACUAGGAACAAAUCCUUAUGUCCUGUAUUUUUCUUUGUGCAUCUGUAAUAUUAACUCCGAGUUUUGAUAUCAUCGUGUAUCUCUAAAUCCAAUUCGAGUUAUGCUAAUAUCG